UCUGUCUGGUUUUUGAAUUAAUAUUUUAAAUUGUGUAUUUUGGGGCACUUUAGAAAUGUCCACGUAGUGUAACAGAUAUAAUCACGUGCUUCCAGUCUCCCCUAAUGUCUGCCCUUUGCCCCUCCUAGAUUUACCGCCGCUGCUGGCUGGUCCUGAGAAAGUCGUCUAGUAAGGGCCCAUGGCGGCUGGAAAAAUACCCCGAUGAACGGUCUGUGCUGCUCCGAACUUCCCCGAAGGU
Pelobates cultripes (western spadefoot toad) is the source of this 238-nucleotide non-coding RNA. The record is from the annotation of a GenBank genome assembly. NCBI's taxonomy places the organism in Eukaryota, Metazoa, Chordata, Amphibia, Anura, Pelobatidae.